This is a non-coding RNA of Myodes glareolus (Bank vole), 2059 nucleotides long. NCBI's taxonomy places the organism in Eukaryota, Metazoa, Chordata, Mammalia, Rodentia, Cricetidae. The record is from RefSeq and is a predicted model, not a curated record.
GAGGAGGACCUUGGUGCUUUCAGUUUUAACUCUUCACCAAUAGUGGAAAAGGCAGAAUGCCUAAGCUGCGGCUCUGUGGCCAAUAGGAUGGCUGUGUGUCUCUCACGUGACCGCCUGCCCCUGCCUUUCGCAUGGGCUCUAAUUUAGUUCAAUUCAGAACUGCAGAUAGUACGGUUUCCACAGGAGCAGGGAUGCCUGAGCACAAGUGGCUGAGUUCCGAGGGACUUUAGGAAAUGCUUGUCUGGCUUCCUGGGCGUGCAAGCGGGAGUCUGCACCUGUACCACAGCCAGGCUGGAGAGAAGCUCCUGCUCUGCCUGCAGGGACGAGGGACGACAGCAAGAAGCGGCUUUUGGAAAUUGCUCUGGACACAGGACCAAGAAAUCCAGGGAGAAGACUAAAGGCGGCUGCGUCUCUAUGUUCAAUAGCAACCCAGUAGGAACCACAGGAACGUGCAGGCCUCUGAAGAACAGAAAGAGUAAAGUAACCCCCGACAGCACCAAAAAGACAAACAAACAAGCAAAACAAAACAAAACAACAACAAAAAAACGAACAACCAAAACCCUCAACAAACAACAAAACCUUUGUUAAGUGGACAGACAGACUGGAACUGGAGGGUUGUAUGGAAGAGGGGUAAAAUGAAGGAGAAGGCUAUAAUUUCUAAGUCUGUGGUGACAAGAAAAUCAGCUCCUGGAGUCAGACAGAAGACAUGGCUGGAGUCUAAGGCCUGGAGGGGAGACUGGCCAGUCUGUGGUAAGUGGCGCACCGCUUUUCAGGACGUGUUAUGUGGUAUGAUGGGAAGCCCUCACCGAACGCUUUCUCCAGUUAGUGCCAUGUCCCCACACCUGAGACCCACUUCCCAGUCAAUUGUUUCCCAGUCUUUGACAGUUCUACAUUUAAUUUUCCUUUCUUGUAUUUCGUUAUGUUAAAGGAAAACAAAGCAAAGCAAUAGCGAUCAGGCCCCUGAUUCCUGUUCCAUGCUGAGAACUCCUAGAGAGAAAAAAAAAAAAAAAAAAAAACAGCAAAGAAAGACCAUGUUUCCAAAAGAGAUGCUGCAUCUAAAGCAUCCUCAGUGGACCAGAGGUCCAUGUACUGUCUCUGUUGGGGUUGUAGAUUUUUGUUUCCAGACCUUCCUCAUUAACACACGGAUUUUUAAAGUGAUCAAGUUCAGAGAGACCUGUCUAGUCUGUGUAUUCACCAAGCACUUGAGAUUUUUAGUCCACUGUUUAGCUUUGUUCUUAUUUUCAUUGAAUUUAACAGAAUUAUAGAAAUGAUAGAAAGUGCAGGAAUUGUACAAUGUGAAUCAAAUCAGGUGGCACGUGGGAAGUCUUCCAAGCCACAGGACUGGCGGGAAGUGCCAUUGGUUGAGUUACAGGCUUGCCUAUGUAUACGCCAAGAAAACACACACUCAGAGUUGCGUUGUAGAAAUGUUUAAGGAGCAAUAGAGCUAUCCAAAUGCACACUUACAGCAAACCGGAAUUAUCGUCCAACAUGGACAAGAAUGCGUUUCAAGUUGCCAGAGGAUAUUGUUCACACGGCAAACUGACUUCAAUCAUAAAUCUUCUGAUAUCUGUUUUUAUAUGAAGCAGGACAAAAUUCUGCUAGUAAUCAAAUAUUUUCUUUAGACACGUGCAAUUUCCUUUUGGCCUUUAUGUAUUUUUAUGAGUUUUUGCUCACAGUCCUGUAGUUUUGACUGCACAGGAGGAGGCCCAGAAGAAAAGAAGGUAAGUAAGUGUGUAAGUUGGUUUAUGCCUUUGGGAAUGUGUUCCUGGUUUCCAGAAUCAUAGUUUCUAUGGGAUGAAAGUCCACUUUCUCAAUUAUGAGUAUGGAACUGUUAGCUGUAGGAUCAAGGAGGAAAAGCAUGAAGAUGGACCAAUACAUCCUCUCAUUUGAAGAAUUGGCAGAAUCUGUAAAAGAUACAGUUUAUUCUGGAAGACUUGAUUGGAAUAAUGUUUUAUAAUGAGAUGUUAAACACAGCAAUAAAUAUCUAUGCACAUUAAAUUUACGACACUUUUUUGCUGAUUUUUGAGACAAGGUCUUAUUCUGUAGCCUAGACUGGCCU